GACGAACGCUGGCGGCGUGCUUAACACAUGCAAGUCGAACGGAAAGGCCCUGCUUUUGUGGGGUGCUCGAGUGGCGAACGGGUGAGUAACACGUGAGUAACCUGCCCUUGACUUUGGGAUAACUUCAGGAAACUGGGGCUAAUACCGGAUAGGAGCUCUCGCUGCAUGGUGGGGGUUGGAAAGUUUCGGCGGUUCGGGAUGGUCUCGAGGCGUAUCAGCUUGUUGGUGGGGUAGUGGCUUACCAAGUGUCUGACGGGUAGCCGGCUUGAGAGGGUGACCGGCGACAUUGGGACUGAGAUACGGCGCAGACGCCUACGGGAGGCAGCAGGGGGGAAUAUUGCACAAUAGGCGGAAGCCUGAUGCAGCAACGCCGCGUGCGGGAUGACGGCCUACGGGGUGUAAACCGCUUUCGCCUGUGACGAAGCGUGAGUGACGGUAAUGGGUAAAGAAGCACCGGCUAACUACGUG
Molecule: ribosomal RNA, 468 nt
Filed under: uncultured bacterium
Lineage: Bacteria
Description: partial 16S ribosomal RNA
Rfam family: Bacterial small subunit ribosomal RNA
Source: RNAcentral